RNAcentral lists this ribosomal RNA (756 nucleotides) under uncultured prokaryote. RNAcentral describes it as "bacterial SSU rRNA". It matches the Rfam family "Bacterial small subunit ribosomal RNA", at positions 712 to 1482 of the family's 1533-position model. The record is from RNAcentral.
AUUGCGAAGGCAGCUUGCUGGACUGUAACUGACGCUGAGGCACGAAAGCGUGGGGAUCAAACAGGAUUAGAUNCCNUGGUAGNCCACGCCGUAAACGAUGAAUGCUAGCUGUUAGCGAUAUACUGNUAGCGGCACAGAGAAAUCGUUAAGCAUUCCACCUGGGGAGUACGCCGGCAACGGUGAAACUCAAAGGAAUUGACGGGGGCCCGCACAAGCGGAGGAACAUGUGGUUUAAUUCGAUGAUACGCGAGGAACCUUACCUGGGCUUAAAUUGCAGUGGAAUAACGUGGAAACAUGUUAGCCUUCGGGCCGCUGUGAAGGUGCUGCAUGGUUGUCGUCAGCUCGUGCCGUGAGGUGUCGGCUUAAGUGCCAUAACGAGCGCAACCCUCAUCGAUAGUUACUAACAGGUUAAGCUGAGGACUCUAUCGAGACUGCCGACGUAAGUCGUGAGGAAGGUGGGGAUGACGUCAAAUCAGCACGGCCCUUACGUCCAGGGCUACACACGUGUUACAAUGGGGGGUACAAAGGGCAGCUACCUGGCGACAGGAUGCUAAUCUCAAAAACCUCUCUCAGUUCGGAUUGGAGUCUGCAACCCGACUCCAUGAAGCUGGAUUCGCUAGUAAUCGCGCAUCAGCCACGGCGCGGUGAAUACGUUCCCGGGCCUUGUACACACCGCCCGUCAAGCCAUGGGAGCCGGGGGGACCUGAAGUAUGCAACCGUAAGGAGCGUCCUAGGGUAAAACUGGUGACUGGGGCU